RNAcentral lists this non-coding RNA (196 nucleotides) under Bacteroides graminisolvens. The record is from RNAcentral. Lineage: Bacteria; Pseudomonadati; Bacteroidota; Bacteroidia; Bacteroidales; Bacteroidaceae.
AUAUCUUUGCAACGCAUAGGUUCGCUAAUCUUUUAACAGAGAUGCGAUUAAAAGGGAAUCAGGUGAAAGUCCUGAACAGUCCCGCUGCUGUAAGUUUCACAAAAUAGCUGUUAGCAAUACCUUUAGCCACUGGGAAAUCCGGGAAGGCGCAAACAGUUGAAACAAGUCAGAAGACCUGCCGUGCGUAAUUAAUCAC